RNAcentral lists this long non-coding RNA (255 nucleotides) under Vicia faba (fava bean). Lineage: Eukaryota; Viridiplantae; Streptophyta; Magnoliopsida; Fabales; Fabaceae. The record is from RNAcentral.
AUGCUAGUACACCGAAGCACAGAGUCGCUUGUCAUCGAGAGAUUGGACAUCCCAGCCACAGCACAGAGAGCCCUUCCGUCGAACGGGACUCAUUCAUCUUCUUGGAUGAAGACUAUCGAGAGUUGGAACAUGAUGAACUAUCACCAGUCAAGAUUACGAGGACGAUGGGAACCUUGGUAUUAUGAUUUCUACAAUUACCUCAAGGACGGGUUCAUAUCAGAGUACGCCACUCGUGGGGUACUCGCCCUUCCUUAG